Molecule: ribosomal RNA, 366 nt
Filed under: Triticum aestivum (bread wheat)
Lineage: Eukaryota; Viridiplantae; Streptophyta; Magnoliopsida; Poales; Poaceae
Description: partial small subunit ribosomal RNA
Source: RNAcentral
AUGGAACCACGUCAGCUUGGGAUGGAGGAGUCCUACGCUGCCACCGCGGCCGAGGUGCUAAAGCCGGUGGAAACGCCGUCCAACGGUGAAGGAUGCCCUAUAUGCUUGGGUCAGGAGGAGGCCGCGGCGACCGCGUGGAAGGAGACAGCCUGCGGACACAGCUUCCAUGGACGGUGCGUGGAAAGGUGGCUCGAGACAAAGGGAACUUGCCCCAUGUGUCGGCGUCAGCUUCUAGUACCAUCCAUUGCGACACAAAGACAUAUUCGCCUUCCUAAUCCUAUGAUGACAAUGGCGAUUGAGAUAGUGAACAGGAAUCCGGAGAUAUACUCAUCACAAGCAUACGAGCUUUUAAGACGGUAUAUGUAG